This 253-nucleotide ribosomal RNA is filed under the name uncultured bacterium. RNAcentral's name for it is "partial 16S ribosomal RNA". It matches the Rfam family "Bacterial small subunit ribosomal RNA", at positions 524 to 776 of the family's 1533-position model. The record is from RNAcentral.
UACGGAGGGUGCAAGCGUUAAUCGGAAUUACUGGGCGUAAAGCGUGCGCAGGCGGUUUGUUAAGUCUGCUGUGAAAUCCCCGAGCUCAACUUGGGAAUUGCAGUGGAUACUGGCAGGCUGGAGUAUGGUAGAGGAAGGUGGAAUUCCCGGUGUAGCAGUGAAAUGCGUAGAGAUCGGGAGGAACACCAGUGGCGAAGGCGGCCUGCUGGACCAAUACUGACGCUCAUGCACGAAAGCGUGGGGAGCAAACAGG